RNAcentral lists this ribosomal RNA (500 nucleotides) under uncultured bacterium. RNAcentral describes it as "partial 16S ribosomal RNA". It matches the Rfam family "Bacterial small subunit ribosomal RNA", at positions 30 to 523 of the family's 1533-position model. The record is from RNAcentral.
AUUGAACGCUGGCGGCAGGCCUAACACAUGCAAGUCGAGCGGAUGAAGAGAGCUUGCUCUCUGAUUCAGCGGCGGACGGGUGAGUAAUGCCUAGGAAUCUGCCUGGUAGUGGGGGACAACGUUUCGAAAGGAACGCUAAUACCGCAUACGUCCUACGGGAGAAAGUGGGAGAUCUUCGGACCUCACGCUAUCAGAUGAGCCUAGGUACGAUUAGCUAGUUGGUGAGGUAAAGGCUCACCAAGGCGACGAUCGUUAACUGGUCUGAGAGGAUGAUCAGUCACACUGGAACUGAGACACGGUCCAGGCUCCUACGGGAGGCAGCAGUGGGGAAUAUUGGACAAUGGGCGAAAGCCUGAUCCAGCCAUGCCGCGUGUGUGAAGAAGGUCUUCGGAUUGUAAAGCACUUUAAGUUGGGAGGAAGGGCAGUAAGUUAAUACCUUGCUGUUUUGACGUUACCGACAGAAUAAGCACCGGCUAACUUCGUGCCAGCCGCCGCCGUAA